CUGGAGACAGGUGCUGCAUGGCUGUCGUCAGCUCGUGUCGUGAGAUGUUGGGUUAAGUCCCGCCAACGAGCGCAACCCUUGCCUUUAGUUGCCAGCAGUUCGGCUGGGCACUCUAAAGGGACUGCCGGUGUUAAACCGGAGGAAGGUGGGGAUGACGUCAAGUCCUCAUGGCCUUUAUGACCAGGGCUACACACGUACUACAAUGGCCGAUACAAAGGGCAGCGACACUGCGAGGUGAAGCCAAUCCCGUAAAAUCGGUCUCAGUCCGGAUUGGAGUCUGCAACUCGACUCCAUGAAGUUGGAAUCGCUAGUAAUCGUGGAUCAGCAUGCCACGGUGAAUACGUUCCCGGGCCUU
RNAcentral lists this ribosomal RNA (355 nucleotides) under uncultured Desulfobulbus sp. RNAcentral's name for it is "bacterial SSU rRNA". It matches the Rfam family "Bacterial small subunit ribosomal RNA", at positions 1028 to 1382 of the family's 1533-position model. The record is from RNAcentral. Lineage: Bacteria; Pseudomonadati; Thermodesulfobacteriota; Desulfobulbia; Desulfobulbales; Desulfobulbaceae.